Non-coding RNA from Caenorhabditis elegans, 189 nucleotides. The record is from Ensembl. NCBI's taxonomy places the organism in Eukaryota, Metazoa, Nematoda, Chromadorea, Rhabditida, Rhabditidae.
ACAAAUCUUAUUCGAAUGCUUUCUCCUUUUGUUCUUUUUUGUACGUGUUUAUCAGCUAUCCGUUAGCAUAUGUGACGUGAUAAGAAGAGAAAAGUGAUGAAAGACCGGGUCGGAAUCAAGUUUAGCCCUCCGCCCUCCGUGCCAUCAACCAAGAAGCUAGAGGAAAGCGCAACACUACGAAGCUGUGAU